RNAcentral lists this unclassified non-coding RNA (1197 nucleotides) under Ancora sagittata. Its description in RNAcentral is "partial external transcribed spacer". Lineage: Eukaryota; Apicomplexa; Conoidasida; Eugregarinorida; Lecudinidae. The record is from RNAcentral.
UAUAUAUAGGGGUCAUCCUUAAUCAUGAUGACCCCUCAUCCUGAUUAAGGGGAACCCCCAUCCAGAGCCCAUACUAAGAUGGAGAACCCCGUGUACACUCAUCGUGAGCUCAUACUAAGAUGGAGCUUGCUGAGCCCAUAGUAAGAUGGAGUGUACAGACAGUCGAUAAGGAGCCACGAGCCCAUACUAAGAUGGAGUGUACAGUCGAAAAGGAGCCACGAGCCCAUACUAAGAUGGAGAACCCCGUGUACAGUACUCAUUGAGCCCAUACUAAAAUGGUCAUCCCGAGAUGAGCGUGUACAGUUGAUACUGAUACCGAGUACAGUUCAUACCGUCAUCCCGAGAUGAGCCAAAUACCAGGAUGGAGAACCCAGUGUACAGUUGAUACCGAUACCGAGUACAGUUCCAUCCCGAGAUAACCAGUAUACUAAUGCAGAACCCCGUGUAACCCCGUGUACAGGUAACCAUACUAAAAUGGAGAACCCCCUGUACAGUCGAUACGGAGUACAGUUCAUACCGUCAUCCCGAGAUGAACCCAUACUAAGAUGGAGAACCCCAUGUACAGUUGAGAUAACCAGUAUAACUGCAGUGUACUGUUGUACAAUUAGGGAAGACACACUACACUAGUAUUCUUCCCCUUCUUUAUGUUUGUACAAUUAGGGAAGGCACAUGGCGGCUCUAUUACAAAGCGUAAAGAUACGUAGUCUUCCCUAAUUGUACAAACAUGGAAGAAUUCAGUACACUACAGUAACGCUAGGAGACCGAGUUAACAAAGUACACCGUCCGCCAAACUUUAGCAUAUAUGGGGAGCUAGUGAUUCGAAGAAGGGGAGAGGAUGGGCUGAAAAUAAUAGGAAGAAAUUGUGGACAGCUCCGUUUGGUAUUGGUGUAUAAAUGAUAUUGCAAUUGGUUUGAAAGUUUAUAUUUCGGUAGCAAGUAUAGAUGGAGUUCUUGAUGGAAAAGAGGUGGUGUGUAACGAUGUUUUCCCGGUAUUUUGUUGGUGGUGUAAAUACUGUGUGCUAAAUCAAAGUAUAUUGCGACCAACUUUCACAUGAAAUACAUUUGUUGAUUAAGGAAACAAUAAUUGGAUGGAAUGAGUUCUGUAAUAAUUUUAUUAAUUCAUGAUUGUAGAGCGAGAUUGUAUUGGAAAUUGAUAAUUGUUGAAAAUAAUAGAAUGUAUUUUGGUUUUACAUUUAAC